Long non-coding RNA from Eurytemora carolleeae, 504 nucleotides. RefSeq lists it as uncharacterized. NCBI's taxonomy places the organism in Eukaryota, Metazoa, Arthropoda, Copepoda, Calanoida, Temoridae. The record is from RefSeq and is a predicted model, not a curated record. The transcript has 4 exons.
CUAAAAUAUAAAAUGUAUUUUUGAAGAAAAAACUGUCUCUUCACCUUCAUUCCUGAGAGAAGAAAAAGCGCGCCGAUCAGCUUGUCCGGGCGGAAAUGGAAACUAUGGAUUUAAUUCCUUCAACUUCAUGACGUUCAUGCUUCUAGUUUUCAGUUUGGUUGCAAAUGUAAACAAUAACAUAAACAACAACAACAACAACGCCAAUAAGAAUAAUAUCAACGCUAUUAACCAGGAUUCCAACAAUGUCGCCUCUAAUACGAAUGCUGUCAAUCAAAUAAUGGUAACUGUGUUGCCUAUUCCUGGGAAACGAAACAUAGAAAAUUUUCUUCUUAAACACAGGGAUUUGGCUCAUUUUCAGAUGCAAUUUUCAAAGACGCCAUUUUUCUUUUUUUUAUUAACUCUAAUUUGGUUUCAAUGGCUCAAUCUUUGGUAACUCCCCGUUAUAGGUAAAAUGUUAUAAAGGAAUCCGUUUUUACAAAAUUCCGACGAAUAUGAAGUCACCAA